RNAcentral lists this ribosomal RNA (406 nucleotides) under uncultured bacterium. RNAcentral's name for it is "partial 16S ribosomal RNA". It matches the Rfam family "Bacterial small subunit ribosomal RNA", at positions 29 to 526 of the family's 1533-position model. The record is from RNAcentral.
AUUGAACGCUGGCGGCAGGCCUAACACAUGCAAGUCGAACGAGUGGCGGACGGGUGAGUAAUGUCUGGGAAACCGCCUGAUGGAGGGGGAUAACUACUGGAAACGGUAGCUAAUACCGCAUACCAUCAGAUGUGCCCAGAUUGGAUGAGCUUGUUGGUGGGGUAACGGCUCACAAAGGCGACGACCCCUAGCUGGUCUGAGAGGAGGACCAGCAACACUGGAACUGAGACACGGUCCAGACUCCUACGGGAGGCAGCAGUGGGGAAUAUUGCACAAGGGGCGCAAGCCGGAUGCAGCCAUGCCGCGGGUAUGAAGAAGGCCUUCGGGUUGUAAAGAACUUUCAGCGGGGAGGCGUUACCCGCAGAAGAAGCACCGGCUAACUCCGUGCCAGCAGCCGCGGUAAUAC